CAUGUCUCUAUGAAGUUAAAUAGAGUCUAUUCUGCCCGUUGAAUAAAUAAAUUUGAAAGGCCGCAGUACUCUGACUGUGCAAAGGUAGCAUAAUCAUUAGUUUCUUAAUUGGAGGCUCGUAUGAAUGAUUGGACAAGAAUCGAACUGUCUCUUCCGAUUAUACUUGAAUUUUAUUUUUAAGUGAAAAAGCUUAAAUGAUUAAGAAAGACGAUAAGACCCUAUAAAUCUUUAUGUAAAUCAGCUUUCAAACCUAAAUAUAGAUUUAAAUUGGUUUAAAGGAAGAAUUCAUUAUACUGGGGCGGUAAAGAUAUAAAAAAUAAACUGUCAAAAUAAAAAACAAAAAUAUUUGUUGCGUAAGAGAUCCUAGCUAUGGAUUAAAAGAUAAAGUUACUUUAGGGAUAACAGCAUAAUUUCUUUAGAGAGUUCAAAUCGAAAAAGAAGCUUGUGACCUCGAUGUUGAAUUAAGAGAUCCCCCAUGGUGCAGCAUUUAUGGGAGGGAGUCUGUUCGACUCUUAAAUUCUUACAUGGAUCUGAGAA
RNAcentral lists this ribosomal RNA (537 nucleotides) under Petrolisthes amoenus. RNAcentral describes it as "partial 16S large subunit ribosomal RNA". It matches the Rfam family "Bacterial large subunit ribosomal RNA", at positions 1816 to 2611 of the family's 2925-position model. The record is from RNAcentral. Lineage: Eukaryota; Metazoa; Arthropoda; Malacostraca; Decapoda; Porcellanidae.